This is a non-coding RNA of Ailuropoda melanoleuca (giant panda), 231 nucleotides long. NCBI's taxonomy places the organism in Eukaryota, Metazoa, Chordata, Mammalia, Carnivora, Ursidae. The record is from RefSeq and is a predicted model, not a curated record.
AUGGCUGAGACUGACCCCAAGACCAUGCAGGAUCUCACCUUGGUGUUGCAGACAGUCCUGCAACAGACGCAAGAUAAAUUUCAAACCAUGUCUGACCAGAUCAUUGGAAGAAUUGAUGACAUGAACAGUUGCAUUGAUCACCUGGAGAAAAACAUUGCAGACCUCAUGACACAGGCUGGGGUGGAAGAGCUGGAGAGUGAAAACAAGAUUUCUGCCACACCAAAGAGCUGA